Non-coding RNA from Anolis sagrei ordinatus, 634 nucleotides. The record is from RefSeq and is a predicted model, not a curated record. Lineage: Eukaryota; Metazoa; Chordata; Lepidosauria; Squamata; Anolidae.
UUUCUAGGAUUGCAAUCUCUGGAGAAGCACAUACCAGCUGCUUCUCUGCUGCUGGUGAUAUAGUUUUAAGACUUGAAAGACAAGAUGCCAUGCUUUCCCACACUGAGCCCACUUCUCUAGGUGGUCAACUUGAGGCCUGCAUAUCACAUCAAGAGAGGGAACUUAAGGGUAAGUAUGAUGUUUCCUGGAAUAUAAUGAAGAAAUAUUAUUCUUACUACACUGGCUAGUAAUAAUGUGUACGUAAUUUCUAAUCACUUCAUUCAAAUUUUGAAGCAGAUCUUAUAACAGCUACUAACAGUAUUGUUGCUUCCCUAUUUCAGAUUCCAAGCUCAUCUUCCGUGGGACUCACAGUGGCAGGAAGGAAAGCCACCCAUCCACAGGAAACAAGCAUCAUUGGUGAAAAGCUAAUUCAUCUUACACAAUGCUAGCAGGAAGGUGCCACUUUAAUUGCCAUGGCUAUAUCCUGUGAAAUCCGAAGGCCUGUACCUUGGGAAGCCAUUGGAAGAGCUCUCUGGCAGGAGGCUGUUCAGGUCCUGAACCGGUGCUUGGCCGCUGUAACAGACUGGAUGAGGGACAACAGAUUGAAACUAAAUCCAGACAAGACAGAGGUACUCCUGGUCAGUUGAAAGGCCGA